CAAAUUCGCUUGGCAGAUGGAAAGCAAUCGAUUAGAAUCUGUACAGGACAUGUUUCCACGGAGCCGCCGUUGAUUUGAACAGAGAUCUAUUGAUGGAAGCAAUUGAAAGAAGGCCGGAAACAAAUUUUUGAGUAAAAUGAAAAGGAAAGCAACUAGAAGUAUAUGAUAACAACGAUUAAACUUCAUCCACUGGAUUUUCAUGAUUCUCGUUUCCAAGAAGGACGACAGCUCUGCAAACGGAGAUUAUGAUUGACUUUUGAAACGGAGAGGGGAAAAACUCACUGAUGACAUCGCUUUCCGUGAACUGAGACUCGAACGGUUGGAGAGUCGCCAGUGGAAGUUGGCGAUAAGCUUGAUCUACAUCCAAAUAGUCGGAGAAAUGCGUGACGGUAUUCAGAAGAACACAGAGCAUAAAGGUAGCCAUACCUUGUGACUUGAAGAAGAUUUGCAAUGGCACGGAAUAUCUGCCAAAACAAUGAACCACUAACUCGUCUGAAAUGCUGUCCAGUUCAAAGAAUUCUCAAAAUAUUAAGACUUACCGAACGAAGAAAGAUAUAACGGAGGCAGGAAUAUUGCAGAUGAUAAAAGUAGCAGAUGUAACGAACAGAAGAACUGAUAUACGACUGCGAUCAUCGCGCGGCGACCGAAGUUGGCGUUGAGCUAAUGUUUCAGUCCGACUGUUUUGUGAUGGCUGUCUCCAGAACCAAUUACGUUUGUCAAUUUUCCGCAGGCCACGAACGACGCACAUGUUCAGGAUAACAAGAAGUAGAACGGGACCCCAGCGGCAGAUACACUGAAAAUUAAACAUAAAAACUACUUUUAAAAAAAUUCGAUUCACUUACUUCUCUUACUAUAAGAUAGAAUUUAAAAA
Caenorhabditis elegans is the source of this 871-nucleotide non-coding RNA. The record is from Ensembl. Lineage: Eukaryota; Metazoa; Nematoda; Chromadorea; Rhabditida; Rhabditidae.